RNAcentral lists this ribosomal RNA (483 nucleotides) under uncultured bacterium. RNAcentral describes it as "partial 16S ribosomal RNA". It matches the Rfam family "Bacterial small subunit ribosomal RNA", at positions 28 to 507 of the family's 1533-position model. The record is from RNAcentral.
GACGAACGCUGGCGGCGUGCUUAACACAUGCAAGUCGAACGCUGAAGCUCAGCUUUUGUUGGGUGGAUGAGUGGCGAACGGGUGAGUAACACGUGAGUAACCUGCCUCCUUCUUUGGGAUAACGCCCGGAAACGGGUGCUAAUACUGGAUAUUCACUGGUCUUCGCAUGGGGGUUGGUGGAAAGGGUUUUUCUGGUGGGGGAUGGGCUCGCGGCCUAUCAGCUUGUUGGUGGGGUGAUGGCCUACCAAGGCUUUGACGGGUAGCCGGCCUGAGAGGGUGACCGGUCAGAUUGGAACUGAGGUACGGCCCAGACUGAUACGGGAGGCAGCAGUGGGGAAUAUUGAACAAUGGGCGCAAGCCUGAUGCAGCGGCGCCGCGUGAGGGAUGGAGGCGUUCGAGUUGUGAACCUCUUUCGCUCAUGAUCAAGCCGCAACAAUGGUUGUGGUGAGGGUAGUGGGUAAAGAAGCGCCGGCUAACUACGUG